RNAcentral lists this long non-coding RNA (427 nucleotides) under Vulpes vulpes (red fox). Its description in RNAcentral is "lncRNA (ENSVVUG00000021002.1)". Lineage: Eukaryota; Metazoa; Chordata; Mammalia; Carnivora; Canidae. The record is from RNAcentral.
ACAGAUUAUAUGUAAUAAUGUAUGUUGCAGCAAACCGAAGUGCUCUUUUCUUAUAUAUAUCCCCUUGGUGCCUCCUAAGAAGCAUGGAUGUGCUAGCUCGAAGCUUUUUUGUUUGCUGAGUGCAAACAGUUAUCGUGCUCUGUGUAAUGGCUUCCACAGGCUUGAGUACAGUAUUGAUUUGGUUGGCUGCCUUGCCAGGACGUGGAGCUCUUCUUACAGAGAAUGUGAGCAAACAGCCGGGGAGGGGUCCCAUGGCUUAGAGCUCAGGUAAUUGGUGAGACGAACCCCGCUCCUGGAACCACAGAGCUGUGCGAGAAGAUGAGGUUUGACACUGGAGAAAGCUCUUUCCAACUGCUCAGAAGCAGGCGAAGCUCAGAACAGGAUGUGAUGAGAACACUAAAUUCCAGUGGAAAUGACAGAAGGAUAC